UACGUAGGUGGCAAGCGUUGUCCGGAUUUACUGGGCGUAAAGAGCGCGCAGGCGGUCGUUCAAGUCGCGUGUGAAAGCCCCCGGCUCAACUGGGGAGGGUCACGCGAUACUGAUCGACUGGAAGGCAGGAGAGGGUAGUGGAAUUCCCGGUGUAGUGGUGAAAUGCGUAGAUAUCAGGAGGAACACCGGUGGCGAAGGCGGGUCUCUGGGCCGUAACUGACGCUGAGGAGCGAAAGCAUGGGGAGCGAACAGG
This 253-nucleotide ribosomal RNA is filed under the name uncultured bacterium. RNAcentral's name for it is "partial 16S ribosomal RNA". It matches the Rfam family "Bacterial small subunit ribosomal RNA", at positions 524 to 776 of the family's 1533-position model. The record is from RNAcentral.